RNAcentral lists this ribosomal RNA (207 nucleotides) under uncultured bacterium. RNAcentral describes it as "partial 16S ribosomal RNA". It matches the Rfam family "Bacterial small subunit ribosomal RNA", at positions 568 to 774 of the family's 1533-position model. The record is from RNAcentral.
CACGCAGGCGGUUUGUUAAGUCAGAUGUGAAAUCCCCGGGCCCAACCUGGGAACUGCAUUUGAAACUGGCAAGCUAGAGUCUCGUAGAGGGGGGUAGAAUUCCAGGUGUAGCGGUGAAAUGCGUAGAGAUCUGGAGGAAUACCGGUGGCGAAGGCGGCCCCCUGGACGAAGACUGACGCUCAGGUGCGAAAGCGUGGGGAGCAAACA